Molecule: long non-coding RNA, 389 nt
Filed under: Androctonus crassicauda
Lineage: Eukaryota; Metazoa; Arthropoda; Arachnida; Scorpiones; Buthidae
Source: RNAcentral
CAUCCUCAUUGUGAAAGGGGCGAAAAUCUCCUCCGAUUCGUUCUCCGAUGCAGUCCACUGCCAGCACCUGACUGGUGGGCCACCGUGGGGAUGAUAUCGACUGAUGCUGUGCAAUGGCCGGGCUCCAAGCGACUUUCCAUGGCCAAAUAUCGCUUGGAUCAACUCCUCAAGGUUUUAUGAUUCCCUAGGGAAGCAAGCUUCCCCCGGCCUCUGGAUGAAACCCACUCAGCCUGAGCAAGGCCAUCUCUCGGGUGGGCACCGUAACGGCUUCUAUCCCUCCACCAUUCAUCCCUUCGGAACAGUACAACCCCUUGGGUUUCGGGACCCUUUUAGAGGACUCAUACCUCACGCAGGGCUUACAUCGGACUAAUUCUUAGUCCCGGAUCUGC